AAGGCGACGAUGCGUAGGGGUUCUGAGAGGAAGGUCCCCCACACUGGUACUGAGACACGGACCAGACUCCUACGGGAGGCAGCAGUGAGGAAUAUUGGUCAAUGGCCGCAGGGCUGAACCAGCCAAGUCGCGUGAGGGAUGACGGUCCUAUGGAUUGUAAACCUCUUUUGUCAGGGAGCAAAGGGCGCCACGUGUGGCGCUUUGCGAGUACCUGAAGAAAAAGCAUCGGCUAACUCCGUGCCAGCAGCCGCGGUAAUACGGAGGAUGCGAGCGUUAUCCGGAUUUAUUGGGUUUAAAGGGUGCGCAGGCGGAAUGUCAAGUCAGCGGUAAAAUUUCGGGGCUCAACCCCGUCGUGCCGUUGAAACUGGCGUUCUUGAGUGAGCGAGAAGUAUGCGGAAUGCGUGGUGUAGCGGUGAAAUGCAUAGAUAUCACGCAGAACUCCGAUUGCGAAGGCAGCAUACCGGCGCUCAACUGACGCUCAUGCACGAAAGCGUGGGUAUCGAACAGGAUUAGAUACCCUGGUAGUCCACGCAGUAAACGAUGAAUACUAACUGUCCGGGCAGAAUGAUGCCUGG
Molecule: ribosomal RNA, 575 nt
Filed under: uncultured bacterium
Lineage: Bacteria
Description: bacterial SSU rRNA
Rfam family: Bacterial small subunit ribosomal RNA
Source: RNAcentral